GUGGGGAAUAUUGCGCAAUGGGGGAAACCCUGACGCAGCAACGCCGCGUGAAUGAUGAAGGCCUUCGGGUUGUAAAGUUCUGUCUUCUGGGACGAUAAUGACGGUACCAGAGGAGGAAGCCACGGCUAACUACGUGCCAGCAGCCGCGGUAAUACGUAGGUGGCAAGCGUUGUCCGGAUUUACUGGGCGUAAAGGAUGCGUAGGCGGACAUUUAAGUCAGAUGUGAAAUACCCGAGCUUAACUUGGGUGCUGCAUUUGAAACUGGGUGUCUAGAGUGCAGGAGAGGUAAGUGGAAUUCCUAGUGUAGCGGUGAAAUGCGUAGAGAUUAGGAAGAACACCAGUGGCGAAGGCGACUUACUGGACUGUAACUGACGCUGAGGCAUGAAAGCGUGGGGAGCAAACAGGAUUAGAUACCCGUGUAGUCC
RNAcentral lists this ribosomal RNA (425 nucleotides) under uncultured bacterium. Its description in RNAcentral is "bacterial SSU rRNA". It matches the Rfam family "Bacterial small subunit ribosomal RNA", at positions 354 to 796 of the family's 1533-position model. The record is from RNAcentral.